Molecule: long non-coding RNA, 1073 nt
Organism: Ictalurus punctatus (channel catfish)
Lineage: Eukaryota; Metazoa; Chordata; Actinopteri; Siluriformes; Ictaluridae
Source: Ensembl
GUUGUAUUUAGUGUUGUGUUCAGUGUUGUGUUUGGUUUUGUGAUGUUUCUGGUAGUGUGUUUGGUGUUGUGUUUGGUGUUGUAGUGGUGACUUUGGUGUUGUGUUUGGUGUUGUAGUGGUGACUUCGGUGUUGUGUUUGGUGUUGUAGUGGUGAUUUUGGUGUUGUGUUUGGUGUUGUAGUGGUGAUUUUGGUGUUGUGUUUGGUGUUGUAGUGGUGAUUUUGGUGUUUGGUGUUGUGGUGAUGUUUUUGGUGUUGUGUUUGGUGUUGUAGUGGUGAUUUUGGUGUUUGGUUUUGUAGUGGUGAUUUUGGUGUUGUGUUUGGUGUUGUGGUGGUGAUUUUGGUGUUGUGUUUGGUGUUGUAGUGGUGAUUUUGGUGUUGUGUUUGGUGUUGUAGUGGUGAUUUGGUGUGUGUUUGGUGUUGUAGUGGUGAUUUUGGUGUUGUGUUUGGUGUUGUGGUGGUGAUUUUGGUGUUGUGUUUGGUGUUGUGGUGAUGUUUUUGUGUUGUAUUUGGUUUUUGUAGUGGUGUUUUUUGUGUUGUAUUCGGUUUUUGUAGUGGUGAUUUUGGUGUUGUGUUUGGUGUUGUAGUGGUGAUUUUGGUGUUGUGUUUGGUGUUGUAGUGGUGAUUUUGGUGUUGUGUUUGGUGUUGUAGUGAUGUUUUUGGUGUUGUGUUUGGUGUUGUGGUGGUGAUUUUGGUGUUGUGUUUGGUUUUUGUAGUGGUCAUAUUGGUGUUGUGUUUGGUCUUGUGAGUCUCUUGUCUGGGUUAUAUAUUUAUCUUUUGUGGGUUUUUUUCUUUUCCCCCUCAGGUAUUUGAGUUUGUAUAAAAGACCAAACCCAAAACAACACAGAUACAAUUGUCUUUGUUGUCAUAGAGAAUAAAGUUAUCGGCUGUAACGCAGCAGCUGCACUCCCGUAUUUCACUCUGUAAUCUACUGCAACGGCUCACCGCCACUUCUGUCAAUAACUCCAACACGGAAAAGACCAGAGCUUCAAACACGUUUCUGCGCACGCAGCGCCGUCCUGCUGUAAAACAAAGACAACUUCCUGUAACCAUUCCAACCCUUUUCUUUAUUAAA